This 813-nucleotide ribosomal RNA is filed under the name Triticum aestivum (bread wheat). RNAcentral's name for it is "partial small subunit ribosomal RNA". The record is from RNAcentral. Lineage: Eukaryota; Viridiplantae; Streptophyta; Magnoliopsida; Poales; Poaceae.
AUGGCAGGUAAUAACCCACCACCAAAGCCAUGGGAACGUGUUGGCACUUCAUCUGGUCCAGCGCCUUUCAAACCCCCAUCUGGAGGCAGCACAAGUGACGUUGUUGAGGCCUCUGGGACAGCAAAACCUGGGGAAGUUGUUUCUGCUGCACAGAGCAAUGCUGCUUUCAACGUGAACAAUCCAGUUGCAGGGCCUGUGCCCCCGCGUCCCUGGCAGCAGCAAGGAUACGGAAAUACUUAUGGGGGUUAUGGUGCCAGUACCUAUAAUUCAUAUGGUGGAUUUGGUGGGGCUUAUAGUAACGGCGGGCUAUAUGGAAAUAAUAACAUGUAUUCAGGGUAUGGAGGUGGUUACGGCAGUUCGUACGGGGGCUCUGGAAUGUAUGGUGGGUCAAUGUAUAAUAACGGGAUGGGAAACCCAUACGGUGGUAUGGGCAUGGCUCCUUACAAUCAGGGUCCUAAUUCAUUUGGUCCUCCAGCACCACCCCCAGGUUUCUGGGUGUCCUUCCUACAAGUGAUGCAUGGGAUUGUGAAUUUCUCUGGACGAGUUGCUUUCCUUAUCAGCCAGAAUACUCAGGCAUUCCACAUGUUCAUCACAGCUCUUUUGCAGCUAUGUGAUAAGUCUGGAAUGCUUUAUGGUGAGCUUGCGAGAUUCACAUUUCGAUUGCUGGGGAUCAAAACCAAACCAAAUAAGGGCAGAAUUCAGGGUGCACAAGCUCCAUCAUCGGAUGGGCCAGGCCAGCAGUUCGUUGAGGCACCAAAAGCUAACAAGAACUCAUGGGAGAAUGUCUGGAACGGCGAUGCUAAGGGAAUGUGA